UUUCCCCUUACUUCAGCUGGUCACACGAAAUUGCGAAAUUGCGCCGCGUGCCAUUUUUGUUUACAAAAAAAAGAAAUGCAAUUGGUCCAACUUGUGAAAUUCUUAGUUGAUUAGUUAAUUCGUUCGCGCUUUGUAGCACAAUUAGACAGGAUGCCCGUGGUGGAGGGCAGUGAUUUGGCGCUGUUGCAGCGCCGUCAGCAACAGGUGCGCAACAUUUGCAUCCUGGCGCACGUGGACCAUGGAAAAACGACUUUGGCGGACUCUUUGGUGGCCAGCAACGGCAUCAUCUCUCAGCGGAUGGCGGGCAAACUGCGCUAUCUGGACAGCCGCCAGGACGAGCAGGAGCGCGGCAUCACCAUGAAGAGCAGCAGCAUUUCCCUGCACUACAAAGACCAUGGAAAUCGAAACGAAAAUGAUUUCCUCGUCAAUCUGAUUGAUUCACCCGGACAUGUGGACUUUUCGAGCGAGGUGUCCACUGCGGUGCGGCUCUGUGACGGGGCCAUUGUCGUGGUGGAUGUGGUCGAGGGCGUGGGCGCCCAGACACGAGCCUGUCUCAAGCAGAUCUACGAGGAGCAGCUGAAGCCGGUUCUGGUGCUCAACAAACUGGAUCGCCUGAUUCUGGAGAAGCAGAUGGAGCCUCUGGAUGCGUACUUCCACUUAACGCAGGUCCUCGAGCAGGUCAACGCUGUGCUGGGCAGCAUUUUCGCCUCCGAUGUCCUCGCCAGGGAGGAUAUCACACAGAAGGACAACCAAGAGUCUGCGCUAGAGGAAGUUGACGACUCGGAGUUGUAUUUCUCGCCAAGCUCCGGCAAUGUGGUAUUCUCCUCCGCCUACGAUGGCUGGGCCUUCUCCGUGCGCGAUUUCGCGGCCAUGUACGACAAACGUUUGGAGAUGAAACGCGAGGAACUGGAGCAGGUGCUUUGGGGAGAUUUCUACUACAAUUCGAAGAAGAAAUGCGCCAUGCCGGGGGCCCAGGAGAAGGCCAAGAAGCCGAUGUUUGUGCAGUUUGUGCUGGAGAACAUCUGGAGCAUGUACGACAUCAUAGCCGUGCGGAAGGACAAGGAUAAGCUGCCGGGCAUAGCCGAGAAACUGGGCCUGAAGCUGGCCGCCCGUGAUCUGCGCCUCACCGAUCCCAAGUUGCAGAUCAAGGCCGUGCUGGGACAGUGGCUGCCCAUCGACAGCAGCGUCCUGCACAUGGUGGUGCAGCAUGUGCCACCGCCCCAUCAGAUCAGCGAGGAGCGGGCCCAAAGACUGCUCUAUCCAGCGAAUAUCCAACUAAGUUCGCUCCCACUCGAGACGCUGAAGCUCAAGGACAGCUUCACCAGCUGCGAUGCAGGCAGCGACAAUGUCAUCGCCUUUGUGUCCAAGAUGACGCCCAUCCACGUCUCCCAACUGCCCCAAAAUCGACCCAAGAGAAUGACGGACCAGGAGCUGCAGACGCGCCGGGAUGAGGUGCGUCGGCGGAUCGAGGAACGUAAGCACCAGAGCGAGCAGACGGAGCUGGAGAGGAUUACUGAGGGUGUGGAGCAGCUCAGCACCAAGCAGGAGGAUACCCCAAAAGAAGAACCUACCCCAGGGCCAGAGGCAGAGGCAGAACGGAACGAAUUCGUUUUCGUUGCCUUUGCCCGCGUCUUCAGUGGAACUUUGAGGCGUGGCAUGGAGCUGUUCAAUCUCUCGCCCAAGCACGAUCCCCGCCAGCCGGCACACCGCAUCGAAGGGCAGGCGCCCUAUGCCACUCGCGUGACCAUCGGGGACCUCUACAUGUUCAUGGGCGGGGAACUGCAGCUCCUGGACGAGGUCCCGGCCGGAAACAUUGUGGGAAUCGGGGGCCUGGGAGCGCACAUCGUGAAAACGGCCACCCUGAGCAGCACCCUGGACUGCACAUCCUUCAGCGAGCUGAGCAUCAUGGCCACACCCAUACUCCGAGUGGCCAUUGAGCCCGUGCAGCCGCAGGAUAUGCCCAAGCUGGUCAAGGGCCUGAAGCUGCUGAACCAAGCGGAUGCCUGUGUCCAGGUGUCGGUGGCUCCGACGGGGGAGCAUGUGAUCACGACCCUGGGGGAGGUGCAUGUGGAGAAGUGUGUCCACGAUCUGGAGCAGAGCUACGCCAAGGUCAAGGUGAACGUGUCCAAGCCCAUAGUUUCCUUCAGGGAGACCAUUGUCCCCGCGGCCACCGUGGACAUGGUCAAUGAGGCUAUUGUGAAGACGGCGGACGACAAGGACGUGAGCAAGAAGAUUGCAAUCCAACAGACGCUCAAUAAGCUGGGAACCCUGAAGGUUAUAGCGCUGCCUCUGCCCCCAGAGGCAGUGGAAUUGCUGGAGAGGCACACGGAAUUCUUCAAAGAACUGGCUGCCACACCGAGGAAUCAGCUUCUCUCCGAGAAGUACGCCACUCUUUUGGCUUCCAUCAAACUGAAACUGGUGGCCGCUCUUCAGGAUCUGCACUUGUUCGGCCUGAGUUCACUCUCCCCCGAGGAGUUGGUCAGUCGCCUCUGGGCUCUGGGUCCCCGGAAUUGCGGCACAAAUCUGCUGCUCAACCUCACGGACUACGAGCAGCCCGAUUUCUGGUCCAGCCAAGCCAAGUCCUCCGACACGGAAAUACGCUCUCUGUCCGAUCCACGCAAGGAUUUCAAUAGCUCUCUGGUCAAUGGCUUUCAGCUGACCUCCGGCGCAGGACCGCUGUGCGAGGAGCCCAUGCAGGGCGUCUGCUUUGCUGUCCUCGAAUGGUCCAUCCAAUCAGAGGGCGAGGAUCUAAAUGCUAGAGGACCCUUUUCGGGUCAAGUUCUGACUGCUGCGAAGGAGGUGUGUCGUCAGGCUUUCCAGAAUCAGCCACAGCGCUUGGUAACGCCCAUGUAUAGCUGUACGAUUGUGGUCAAUGCGGAAAUGUUGGGGAAAAUGUACGCUGUGAUUGGCCGGAGACAUGGCAAGAUCCUGUCCGGAGACCUCACCCAGGGCAGCGGCAACUUCUCGGUCACCUGUCUGCUGCCGGUGAUCGAGUCGUUCAACUUUGCCCAAGAGAUGCGCAAGCAGACAUCUGGCCUCGCCUGUCCCCAGCUGAUGUUCAGCCACUGGGAGGUGAUUGAUAUCGAUCCCUUCUGGCUGCCCACAACCGAGGAGGAACUGAUGCACUUCGGCGAGAAAGCCGACUCCGCCAACCGGGCCAAGGUCUACAUGGACAGUGUGCGGCGUCGCAAGGGCCUCUUCGUGGACGAACAGGUGGUGGAGCAUGCCGAGAAGCAACGCACCCUCUCCAAGAACAAGUGAUUCAAGCAGCAAUACCUCUUGCGAGCCCUCGGUCCCCGAUUUGCCCACCAUUGUUUACCUGAGGCAUCAGCUUUUUGGUCUUCCGGCUCAUCUUCGGGACAUGAUUCCUCCGUCGGUGCCCCAUUAGCGGGUGAUUCCGCCAUCCUCGUCUUCUCGGGAGUUCCUAGGGAUGUGCUCCUGGCUGGACUGUGGCAGCCACUGUCUGAUGCCACUGGAAAUAAUGUCAGCAACCCCCUCAUCCAUACGACGCCGAAUCAAACGCUGGGCUUCAGCUUCGAGACGUCUGAGGCGUAUCCGAUUCCCUCCCGUCAGACGGAGUCCGAUCAAAGUAUCCCAGCCAGAAGCUCACCGAAGCGCACCCCUUCAAAGAGCUGAACCAAACAAGCUAUCGUCAUCCUUCGACCUGGCCAUCAACCACAAGGACUUUGACUAUGACAACCAAGGGAGGGGCUACGCGGGCUACUAUAUGAUACGUUUAAGUCAGAUACAAAUGUUUUCCACUUGCACAUUUAUUUAUACUAAUAUUUAUUUAUUUUAUAUUAUACUAUAAUUUAUACAUAAUUAUUUAAAUUAUGAUGAAUAAAACUAUUGAAAAUUCA
Molecule: RNA transcript, 3860 nt
Organism: Drosophila pseudoobscura
Lineage: Eukaryota; Metazoa; Arthropoda; Insecta; Diptera; Drosophilidae
Gene name: elongation factor-like GTPase 1
Exons: 7
Source: RefSeq, a predicted model, not a curated record